GAUGAACGCUAGCGGCAGGCCUAACACAUGCAAGUCGAGGGGUAGAACACUUCGGUGUUUGAGACCGGCGCACGGGUGCGUAACGCGUAUGCAAUCUACCUUAUACAGGGGAAUAGCCCAGAGAAAUUUGGAUUAAUGCCCCAUAGCAUUACGACUUGGCAUCAAGAUGUAAUUAAAGUUCCAACGGGAUAAGAUGAGCAUGCGUCCCAGCAGUUAGUGGGUAAGGUAACGGCUUACCAAGACGAUGAUGGGUAGGGGUCCUGAGAGGGCGAUCCCCCUCACGGGUCCUGAGACCCGUACCACACUCCUACGGGAGGCAGCAGUGAGGCAUAUUGUUCAAUGUUCGAAAGACUAAACCAGCCAUGCUGCAUGCAGAAACACGAUCCUAUGGAUUGUAAACUGCUUUUAUACAGGAAGAAACCCUCCCACGUGUGGGAGCUUGACGGUACUGUAGGAACAAGGAUCGGCUAACUCCGUGCCAGCAGCCGCGGUAA
This 494-nucleotide ribosomal RNA is filed under the name uncultured bacterium. RNAcentral describes it as "partial 16S ribosomal RNA". It matches the Rfam family "Bacterial small subunit ribosomal RNA", at positions 28 to 523 of the family's 1533-position model. The record is from RNAcentral.